This 497-nucleotide ribosomal RNA is filed under the name uncultured bacterium. RNAcentral's name for it is "partial 16S ribosomal RNA". It matches the Rfam family "Bacterial small subunit ribosomal RNA", at positions 28 to 507 of the family's 1533-position model. The record is from RNAcentral.
GACGAACGCUGGCGGCGUGCCUAAUACAUGCAAGUUGAGCGCUGAAGGUUGGUACUUGUACCAACUGGAUGAGCAGCGAACGGGUGAGUAACGCGUGGGGAAUCUGCCUUUGAGCGGGGGACAACAUUUGGAAACGAAUGCUAAUACCGCAUAAAAACUUUAAACACAAGUUUUAAGUUUGAAAGAUGCAAUUGCAUCACUCAAAGAUGAUCCCGCGUUGUAUUAGCUAGUUGGUGAGGUAAAGGCUCACCAAGGCGAUGAUACAUAGCCGACCUGAGAGGGUGAUCGGCCAAAUUGGGACUGAGACACGGCCCAAACUCCUACGGGAGGCAGCAGUAGGGAAUCUUCGGCAAUGGACGAAAGUCUGACCGAGCAACGCCGCGGGAGUGAAGAAGGUUUUCGGAUCGUAAAACUCGGUUGGUAGAGAAGAAAGUUGGUGAGAGUGGAAAGCUCAUCAAGUGACGGUAACUACACAGAAAGGGACGGCUAACUACGUG